UGGUGUAAUCCUAUCCACGGUCCUCAGCAUCGCUCUCAGGUACGAGUGUGGACAUUGUGUACAGAUGGACAGUAUCUAAUCUAGAUGAGGUCACCUGCCUCUAGUACACCCGGGGCUCCGCCUAUGUCCCUACCCUCUCGGCCAGGGCUGACAGGCAGAGGUGGAGAGGGUCGCCCCCAUCGACAGAAACGCGAUCAUCCUCGGGCGGCAGCACUGAGAUGGCUCAAGUUCCUGUCCCAGACUCUCAGAGAGAGGAAGAGGUACUGGCUGACUGCCUCAUGUCCAUGGGUCAGUUUUGCCAGUUCCCAGUUGCGAGCUCCCCGUCUCAGGCCGAGGGGGGCGAACCAGAACCGAAAAGGUAUGAGGCCACUCUUAGGAUGCUGCUGGCCCGCCUGGGUGGGCAGAUGGUUCCCAGCUGCGGGGAGGAUCGGGGGUAUUGGGGAGGGGAUAUCGAGGGGCCGAUGCCCGCCUAGAUACCUUGGGACCCCGGCACCCCAAGCUGCUCCGUGCGGGCGCGCUGCUGCCCAUCCAACCCGGCCAUGCCUUACCUCCCGCCGUGCAGCCCUGACAGCAACACCUUGGGUUGGCCCCGGCCCCGGAAGAGUCCUCCAGCGCGUGAUCAAAGGAGCGGGAGAGAAGGCGGGGCCUUGGCGCCCCAGUCCAGCAUGGUGGCCAAUCCGGAUGCGGGUGGGCGGGCCGGACGGGGUCCUGCAGCGUCCACGCCGCGGCAGCAGGGGGCGACCGAGGGCCGCGCAGCGGGAAGGUUGCGGGACGGCGCGCUUUCCCGGCUGCACACGGGCGGGCGGGGCCAGUGGUCACCGCAGGAUCCUGGCGACUGGUUGUCCGCGGGUAGAGGCGGUGGCCGAGGGCCUCAUUCCUUUCUGUCCCCGCGUCUUCAAAGCAGGUUGCCGUGAAACUGAAAUGAUGGUGUGGGACUGGAGCCCAGCACAUCCCUGUGGCCCGAAUGCUAAGCUCAUUGAAGCACUUUCCCCACUGUGCGAUGAGGGGAAGCACAGAUGGAGCAGCGGGGUCACUUGCUUGAGUCAGGGGCAGCUCAGUAAGCCUGUGUCCAAGCUGUGAUCGUCUGAUUAUUAAAGUUACUUAGACUG
This 1109-nucleotide long non-coding RNA is filed under the name Mus musculus (house mouse). RNAcentral describes it as "RIKEN cDNA C130040N14 gene (ENSMUSG00000116884.3)". The record is from RNAcentral. Lineage: Eukaryota; Metazoa; Chordata; Mammalia; Rodentia; Muridae.